This 71-nucleotide transfer RNA is filed under the name Camelus bactrianus (Bactrian camel). It matches the Rfam family "tRNA". Rfam says of the family: Transfer RNA (tRNA) molecules are approximately 80 nucleotides in length. Their secondary structure includes four short double-helical elements and three loops (D, anti-codon, and T loops). Further hydrogen bonds mediate the characteristic L-shaped molecular structure. tRNAs have two regions of fundamental functional importance: the anti-codon, which is responsible for specific mRNA codon recognition, and the 3' end, to which the tRNAs corresponding amino acid is attached (by aminoacyl-tRNA synthetases). tRNAs cope with the degeneracy of the genetic code in two manners: having more than one tRNA (with a specific anti-codon) for a particular amino acid; and 'wobble' base-pairing, i.e. permitting non-standard base-pairing at the 3rd anti-codon position. The record is from Rfam by way of RNAcentral. Lineage: Eukaryota; Metazoa; Chordata; Mammalia; Artiodactyla; Camelidae. RNAcentral also lists the same sequence under 2 other names.
GAGGUUAUAGCUCAGUGGUAGAACACGUGCUUAGCAUGCAUAAGGUCCUGGGUUCAAUCCCAGUAUCUUCA